AGUCGAGCGAAUGGAUUAAGAGCUUGCUCUUAUGAAGUUAGCGGCGGACGGGUGAGUAACACGUGGGUAACCUGCCCAUAAGACUGGGAUAACUCCGGGAAACCGGGGCUAAUACCGGAUAACAUUUUGAACUGCAUGGUUCGAAAUUGAAAGGCGGCUUCGGCUGUCACUUAUGGAUGGACCCGCGUCGCAUUAGCUAGUUGGUGAGGUAACGGCUCACCAAGGCAACGAUGCGUAGCCGACCUGAGAGGGUGAUCGGCCACACUGGGACUGAGACACGGCCCAGACUCCUACGGGAGGCAGCAGUAGGGAAUCUUCCGCAAUGGACGAAAGUCUGACGGAGCAACGCCGCGUGAGUGAUGAAGGCUUUCGGGUCGUAAAACUCUGUUGUUAGGGAAGAACAAGUGCUAGUUGAAUAAGCUGGCACCUUGACGGUACCUAACCAGAAAGCCACGGCUAACUACGUGCCAGCAGCCGCGGUAAUACGUAGGUGGCAAGCGUUAUCCGGAAUUAUUGGGCGUAAAGCGCGCGCAGGUGGUUUCUUAAGUCUGAUGUGAAAGCCCACGGCUCAACCGUGGAGGGUCAUUGGAAACUGGGAGACUUGAGUGCAGAAGAGGAAAGUGGAAUUCCAUGUGUAGCGGUGAAAUGCGUAGAGAUAUGGAGGAACACCAGUGGCGAAGGCGACUUUCUGGUCUGUAACUGACACUGAGGCGCGAAAGCGUGGGGAGCAAACAGGAU
This 738-nucleotide ribosomal RNA is filed under the name Bacillus sp. Y439_1. Its description in RNAcentral is "bacterial SSU rRNA". It matches the Rfam family "Bacterial small subunit ribosomal RNA", at positions 60 to 778 of the family's 1533-position model. Lineage: Bacteria; Bacillati; Bacillota; Bacilli; Caryophanales; Bacillaceae. The record is from RNAcentral.